AGCAAAAUCAAUUCGUGUUGUUUGGAGAAAUGUCAAUCAAGAUUGGCGUGUAGAGAAUGGCUUGUCAGUUCUUGACAAAGAACCUCUUUUCAUUGGCAUAUCUGUCAGCUCCACUGAAAAGGCUUUUAGAACAGUUGAUAUUGGGCCAGAUGCUGAAAACAAGAUAGAGGCACUUAGAUUCCGGAAGUUU
Molecule: non-coding RNA, 190 nt
Organism: Camelina sativa (false flax)
Lineage: Eukaryota; Viridiplantae; Streptophyta; Magnoliopsida; Brassicales; Brassicaceae
Source: RefSeq, a predicted model, not a curated record